ACAAGACCAGAGACUCAUGCUCUCCCUCUCUCUCUCACAGAUCAUCAUCGAUCUUCCACCAUCGCUCACCGUUGAUCUUCCACAGUCGCACAUUGCUACCGCCGCUCGCUCGUCUCGCAUCGCAUCGCUUCAACAUUGAGGCUUUCAUGUGUUUGGGCUCCACAAAGAGAAGUGGAACAAGAUUUUGGAGCUACUACUCGCCACAAGCUUAAUCUAUUGCCUUACUUUGUACAAUCACUAUAUCAGAUAUGCUCUGCCUCUCUUAUCAAAACCGACUCAUUUUCUUAGUCGCUCCGUUACAUCUGGUCUCUUUCUUUCUGUUUUUGGUUUAUUUUGAUUCUAUUUAUCAUGAAUAAGUACUUUCCUAGGGUAUAUAAAUUUGUCUAUAUGGAGAAUUUUGAAUCCCAUGCUUACAUAAAUUUGUGUUUAAUGGAUAAAUACUUCUCUUGUUUUCUGUUAUAUAUAACUCUGUAUAUAUAGAACAGUCCAAGAGGUUUUGUUUUGUGGAAAAAUCAUUUUUUGUUCAAACUGUUCAAGAGUUUUAACAGCUGGAAAUAAAAAUAUUAAGGGUUCACGUAUUGGUGGAAUGGUUGAAGUGUGAGAGAGAUGAAGAGGAUGAGAAAAGUGGUUGUGAUGGAAAGUAGAAGAGAGAGGGUAGAGCAAGAAAAAUUGUUAGGACAAAAUUGAUAUUUUACGACUUAUUUUUGUUGAACCACAUUUUUUUUUUGUUGUGGUAAUGACGAGAUGAGAUGGUGAAUGUACAAGUGGCAGCCACGGAGUUGUUGAAUGUAAUGUCAGGGCUCUCUCUCUCUCUCACACACACACACACACACACAAUUAUGCACAAACACUAUUUUUAGAAGUUUCCAAGGUGACUUUUUUAUUUUUAUUUUUAAUGGUGUUUAAUCUGUGUAAUCUCAUUUGCUGAUUUUCUCUUUCCUACCCCACUUAUAAUAUAAUAUAAUUUUAUUUGUGUGAUUGGUAAUAUUUAUUUGUUGUUUCAAUCCUCUUGUAAUGUUUCUUCCUAUUUGUUGUUUAAAAGUGCUUCGUUGUAGCAGGGGCUACUGAGAUUGAGCAGCCAUGAGCAUUAAUUCAUAGUGUUUCAUGAUAUUGUUUUGUUUAAAUAUUUUGUUUUGAGCUAUAACUGCAAGCCCUGUUUAUUGCAUUUGAACAAAGCUCAUCUUUGAAGCCCCCUUAGUAAUAUUGAAAAUCACUUUAGAAAGUUCUAAGUUAAUAAUUUGGUAGCCAUUGUAAGAACGUGGUCUAAGUUAUGGAUUGGUGGCGAAUUAAGUGGGUGAUGCCAGGAUCUCUUAGUGGAUUGAUAGUGGUGGUCUGGUUACAAAUUCAAGAACCUGGAGAAAAAAGCCUGAAAGCUUUGUUGUUGGCAAGCUUGUGGUCUUUAUGGAACCAGGUGCCACAGAUUUAUGCUAUGGAAGCUGAAAAUUCGAAAGCUAAGGUCCAAAGGUUCCCAUGUUGAGCAUGCUCACUUGACAAACACAUCUAACCAGAUUUUGCAAGUUAUGAAUGCUAGCCGAGAAUAUAUAUACAAUUGAGAAUUUGGGAACUGAUUUUAUUUUGAUAAUUUCUCUCUCCGGAAGAUGGAUAUCACUAUGACUUCUCAGAACUUAUGGUUGGAAUAAUUUUCUUUUAAAUUUUUUUGCUUUAACUUUGUUAGUGUGGUAGAAUAUUUUAUAAUUUU
This is a long non-coding RNA of Camellia sinensis, 1699 nucleotides long. RefSeq lists it as uncharacterized. The record is from RefSeq and is a predicted model, not a curated record. Lineage: Eukaryota; Viridiplantae; Streptophyta; Magnoliopsida; Ericales; Theaceae.